Molecule: ribosomal RNA, 253 nt
Filed under: uncultured bacterium
Lineage: Bacteria
Description: partial 16S ribosomal RNA
Rfam family: Bacterial small subunit ribosomal RNA
Source: RNAcentral
UACAGAGGGGGCAAGCGUUGUUCGGAAUUACUGGGCGUAAAGGGCGCGUAGGCGGCCUGCUAAGUCGAACGUGAAAUCCCCGGGCUCAACCCGGGAACUGCGUCCGAUACUGGCAGGCUUGAAUUCGGGAGAGGGAUGCAGAAUUCCAGGUGUAGCGGUGAAAUGCGUAGAUAUCCGGAGGAAUACCGGUGGCGAAGGCGGCAUCCUGGACCGACAUUGACGCUGAUGAGCGAAAGCUAGGGGAGCAAACGGG